Molecule: ribosomal RNA, 374 nt
Filed under: uncultured organism
Description: bacterial SSU rRNA
Rfam family: Bacterial small subunit ribosomal RNA
Source: RNAcentral
CGGGGGGAGCAAGCGUUGUUCGGAUUUACUGGGCGUAAAGGGCGCGUAGGCGGCCUGUGCAAGUCGGUUGUGAAAUCUCCGGGCUUAACUCGGAACGGUCAACUGAUACUGCUCGGCUAGAGUGCAGAAGGGGCAACUGGAAUUCUUGGCGUAGCGGUGAAAUGCGUAGAUAUCAAGAGGAACACCUGCGGCGAAGGCGGGUUGCUGGGCUGACACUGACGCUGAAGCGCGAAAGCUAGGGGAGCGAACGGGAUUAGAUACCCCGGUAGUCCUAGCCUUAAACGAUGAAUGCUUGGUGUCUGGGGUUAUAAAGUCCCCGCGUGCCGUCGCUAACGCUUUAAGCAUUCCGCCUGGGGAGUACGGUCGCAAGACUG